AGCUCCGGGGUGUGAUCACGUCAGAUUGCAAAUCUGAAGAAGUAGGUGAAGAGCCUGCCGGGGCUU
RNAcentral lists this transfer RNA (66 nucleotides) under Arnoglossus polyspilus (many-spotted lefteye flounder). Its description in RNAcentral is "tRNA-Cys". The record is from RNAcentral. Lineage: Eukaryota; Metazoa; Chordata; Actinopteri; Pleuronectiformes; Bothidae.